GCACUCGUAGCUCAAUUGUAUAGAGCAACUCGUUUCUACCGAGAAGGUUGGGGGUUAGAGUCCCUCCGGGUGUGCCA
This 77-nucleotide transfer RNA is filed under the name Crocinitomicaceae bacterium. RNAcentral's name for it is "tRNA-Arg". It matches the Rfam family "tRNA". Rfam says of the family: Transfer RNA (tRNA) molecules are approximately 80 nucleotides in length. Their secondary structure includes four short double-helical elements and three loops (D, anti-codon, and T loops). Lineage: Bacteria; Pseudomonadati; Bacteroidota; Flavobacteriia; Flavobacteriales; Crocinitomicaceae. The record is from RNAcentral.